GAGGAAAAUUCUGGGAAAGAUAGGCAGAA
RNAcentral lists this non-coding RNA (29 nucleotides) under Cricetulus griseus (Chinese hamster). The record is from RNAcentral. Lineage: Eukaryota; Metazoa; Chordata; Mammalia; Rodentia; Cricetidae.